This 456-nucleotide ribosomal RNA is filed under the name uncultured Anaerolineaceae bacterium. RNAcentral describes it as "bacterial SSU rRNA". It matches the Rfam family "Bacterial small subunit ribosomal RNA", at positions 912 to 1382 of the family's 1533-position model. The record is from RNAcentral. Lineage: Bacteria; Bacillati; Chloroflexota; Anaerolineae; Anaerolineales; Anaerolineaceae.
GACGGGGACCCGCACAAGCAGCGGAGCGUGUGGUUUAAUUCGAUGCUACACGAAGAACCUUACCAGGGUUUGACAUGCAAGUGGUAGGAAACUGAAAGGGGACCGACCCUUCGGGGAGCUUGCACAGGUGCUGCAUGGCUGUCGUCAGCUCGUGUCGUGAGAUGUUCGGUUAAGUCCGCUAACGAGCGCAACCCUCACUGUGUGUUAUACGUGUCACACGGGACUGCCGGUUUUAAGCCGGAGGAAGGUGGGAUGACGUCAAGUCAGCAUGGCCUUUAUAUCCUGGGCUACACACACGCUACAAUGGUCGGUACAAUAGGUUGCCAAGCCGCGAGGCGGAGCCAAUCCAUAAAGCCGGCCUCAGUUCAGAUUGUAGGCUGCAACUCGCCUGCAUGAAGAUGGAGUUGCUAGUAACCGCAGGUCAGCAAUACUGCGGUGAAUACGUUCCCGGGUCUU